GCAGUCAUCGUAUAGUGGCUAUUACCCCAGCCUUCCAGGCUGAUGAUGCAGGUUCGAUUCCCGCUGACCGCUCCA
This 75-nucleotide transfer RNA is filed under the name Salmonella enterica subsp. enterica serovar Rubislaw. RNAcentral describes it as "tRNA-Gly". It matches the Rfam family "tRNA". Rfam says of the family: Transfer RNA (tRNA) molecules are approximately 80 nucleotides in length. The record is from RNAcentral. Lineage: Bacteria; Pseudomonadati; Pseudomonadota; Gammaproteobacteria; Enterobacterales; Enterobacteriaceae. RNAcentral also lists the same sequence under 7 other names.